RNAcentral lists this ribosomal RNA (465 nucleotides) under Vreelandella stevensii. RNAcentral's name for it is "partial 16S ribosomal RNA". It matches the Rfam family "Bacterial small subunit ribosomal RNA", at positions 338 to 795 of the family's 1533-position model. Lineage: Bacteria; Pseudomonadati; Pseudomonadota; Gammaproteobacteria; Oceanospirillales; Halomonadaceae. The record is from RNAcentral.
CCUACGGGGGGCUGCAGUGGGGAAUAUUGGACAAUGGGGGGAACCCUGAUCCAGCCAUGCCGCGUGUGUGAAGAAGGCCCUCGGGUUGUAAAGCACUUUCAGUGAGGAAGAACGCCUGGUGGUUAAUACCCAUCAGGAAAGACAUCACUCACAGAAGAAGCACCGGCUAACUCCGUGCCAGCAGCCGCGGUAAUACGGAGGGUGCGAGCGUUAAUCGGAAUUACUGGGCGUAAAGCGCGCGUAGGUGGCUUGAUAAGCCGGUUGUGAAAGCCCCGGGCUCAACCUGGGAACAGCAUCCGGAACUGUCAAGCUAGAGUGCAGGAGAGGAAGGUAGAAUUCCCGGUGUAGCGGUGAAAUGCGUAGAGAUCGGGAGGAAUACCAGUGGCGAAGGCGGCCUUCUGGACUGACACUGACACUGAGGUGCGAAAGCGUGGGUAGCAAACAGGAUUAGAUACCCCAGUAGUC